AAAUACUAAAGGUAAAUUAUGAUUAAUUAUGCCUUACAUAUUUAAACAUACAAGGUUUUAUGUUUUAUCGCCUCAACAAAAAAAAUGAAUGAUCCCCAAAAUGACAAUUAUACACCAAAGGAUGUAAAAAAAGACAAGUACUAAAUAACUAAUAACAUUAAAUGAAAAACAAUUAUCUCUGACAAGACCAACACAAUUUUAAAGUGCUAACAGUUUGUAAGAAGGCUUACUCCCUGCUGUGGCACAUAUACUAAUGAUUCAUGAUUGAACGAGAAGCUGGAAUACCAAUUUAAAUUUAAAGAAUUGAUCCAUUGGAGGAACACUGAUCUCCUUAAAGCACACAAACUUUCACAAGAUAACCAGGGCCUGUCAUUGCUUAAAGUGUUCAUCUAAGAUCUCUUACUAUAGAAGAAACUGGAGAAUGCAUGGAAGUACUGGAUUUUGGAAGUCAUUUUGAUUACAUGUAGAAAGAGGGAGGGCCAAUUUGCCGGGGAUUUUUUUCACAGAAGGGCCAAUUUCAAAAAGUGCCGACAGAAUAAAAUUUACUAUAAAAACAAAAAAUAAAAAUGCCUUUUGAUCAAUAUCUCGAUUUACAUAUAUUAUGAUAUGUGUGAUCAAUAGUUAAUUUAACCCUCAAAAAGGAUGAAAGUACGAUAUGC
RNAcentral lists this long non-coding RNA (659 nucleotides) under Mytilus galloprovincialis (Mediterranean mussel). The record is from RNAcentral. Lineage: Eukaryota; Metazoa; Mollusca; Bivalvia; Mytilida; Mytilidae.